CCUUUUCCUCAGCUGCCGCCAAGGUGCUCGGUUCUUCCGAGGAAGCUAAGGCCGCGUUGGGGUGAGGCCCUCACUUCAUCCGGCGACUAGCACCGCGUCCGGCAGCGCCAGCCCUACACUCGCCCACGCCAUGGCCUCUGUCUCCGAGCUCGCCUGCAUCUACUCGGCCCUCAUUCUGCACGACGAUGAGGUGACAGUCACGGAGGAUAAGAUCAAUGCCCUCAUAAAAGCAGCCGGUGUAAAUGUUGAACCUUUUUGGCCUGGCUUGUUUGCAAAGGUAAGGUGAUGGUGGCAAAGUGAUGUGGUAAGGCCUGCUGAUUUACGAGGGCAGGUGUACAUGCUAAAGUACCCCCAGCGGUGCCAUAACGCCCCACAUGCCGCUGGAUCUCCUAGGUGUUUUUCGUUGCAUGUAUAUCUCUAGGAGCUAAUAAGUUUCAGCUUGUCAAGUCUUAUGUUUCCUUAUCAGAUUCUGGUUUCCCUUUUGCUCUGAAACCAUGGUUAAAAAAAAAUCUGAAUCAGGUCAUUUAUUCCCAAAAAGGGUCACCCGGGAGAUAGGUACUACCCAUAUUAAGUUGCAAGCAAAUUCUUUUUCUUUUUUUUUGGAGACGGUGUCACCCAGGCUGGAGUGCAGCGGCGCGAUCUCAGCUCACUGCAAGCUCCGCCUCCUGGGUUCACGCCAUUAUCCUGCCUCAGCCUCCCGAGUAGUUGGGACUACAGGCGCGCGCCACCAAGCCUGGCUCAUUUUUGUGUGUGUUUUUAGUAGAGACGGGGUUUCACCAUGUUAGCCAGGCUGGUCUCUAUCUCCUGACCUCGUGAUCCGCCCGCCUCUGCCUUCCACAGUGUUGGGAUUACAGGCGUGAGCCACCGCGCCUGGCCCGCAAGCAUUCUUUAAAUUCUUGCAUUAAACCUAUAGUUUGAUGGACAUUUGGGUUUAGCGGACUUAAUUGACAAAGUAGGUACUGUGUGUUGGGAUAUAAAAGACUAAUAAUGGAACUGUGGAAAGAAUAUUCAUUUGAGUGCUUCAGGAAGUUUGGAUUUUUUUUUUUUAAUUUUUUUUUUUUUUUUUUUACCAACAUGUUAUUUGUAAAAGGAGGGAAAUCAGCUACCUCAGGAGGUUCCUAGCAUAUAGGAAUGUAGUUAUCAGAUUCAAAGCUGAACAGUAGUGUGUUGCCCUGUAACCUAAGUCUUGGCUGUUAGCAAAGAAAAGCCAAUGUUUGGGGUGUUGGUUCCAGGACUUUCCACUAAUAAGAAAAUCCCAGGAUGUUCCAUCUCUUAUAUAAAUGUAUUUGCAUAUAACCUAUGCACAUCCUCCUGUAAACUUUAGAAGACUACAUGUUUGGUACACAUGUUUAUUUUUCCACUGUUGAAUCCAUGGAUGUGGAACCCACUAUAUAUAGUAUUAGGGGUUGAUCACUGUAACCUGGAAUGGGGGAUACUUUUCAUCUUUGGCUGCGUUGAGUGCUUAACAAGGACAGAACUGGGCGUUUACCUAUGCAUGCACAUGUAUUGCAGGCCCUGGCCAAUGUCAACAUUGGGAGUCUCAUCUGCAAUGUAGGGGCUGGUGGACCUGCUCCAGCAGCUGGUGCUGCACCAGCAGGAGGUCCUGCCCCCUCCACUGCUGCUGCUCCAGCUGAGGAGAAGAAAGUGGAAGCAAAGAAAGAAGAAUCCGAGGAGUCUGAUGAUGACAUGGGCUUUGGUCUUUUUGACUAAACCUCUUUUAUAACGUGUUCAAUAAAAAGCUGAACUUUA
Molecule: small RNA, 1749 nt
Filed under: Pongo abelii (Sumatran orangutan)
Lineage: Eukaryota; Metazoa; Chordata; Mammalia; Primates; Hominidae
Description: retained intron
Source: RNAcentral